Molecule: ribosomal RNA, 460 nt
Filed under: uncultured bacterium
Lineage: Bacteria
Description: partial 16S ribosomal RNA
Rfam family: Bacterial small subunit ribosomal RNA
Source: RNAcentral
CCUACGGGAGGCAGCAGUGAGGAAUAUUGGUCAAUGGACGAGAGUCUGAACCAGCCAAGUAGCGUGAAGGAUGACUGCCCUAUGGGUUGUAAACUUCUUUUAUAUGGGAAUAAAACGUUCCACGUGUGGGAUUUUGUAUGUACCAUAUGAAUAAGGAUCGGCUAACUCCGUGCCAGCAGCCGCGGUAAUACGGAGGAUCCGAGCGUUAUCCGGAUUUAUUGGGUUUAAAGGGAGCGUAGGUGGGUUGUUAAGUCAGUUGUGAAAGUUUGCGGCUCAACCGUAAAAUUGCAGUUGAAACUGGCAGUCUUGAGUACAGUAGAGGUGGGCGGAAUUCGUGGUGUAGCGGUGAAAUGCUUAGAUAUCACGAAGAACUCCGAUUGCGAAGGCAGUUCACUGAACUGCAACUGACACUGAGGCUCGAAAGUGUGGGUAUCAAACAGGAUUAGAUACCCUUGUAGUC